RNAcentral lists this ribosomal RNA (358 nucleotides) under uncultured bacterium. Its description in RNAcentral is "partial 16S ribosomal RNA". It matches the Rfam family "Bacterial small subunit ribosomal RNA", at positions 338 to 693 of the family's 1533-position model. The record is from RNAcentral.
CCUACGGGUGGCAGCAGUGAGGAAUAUUGGUCAAUGGGCGCGAGCCUGAACCAGCCAAGUAGCGUGAAUGAUGACUUCCCUACGGGUUUUAAACUUCUUUUAUCAGGGGCUAAAUUGAUGCACGUGAGCCUUUUUGUAUUUACUUUAUGACUAAGGAUCGUCGAACUCCGUGCCAGCAGCCGCGGUAAUACGGAGAGUCCGAGCGUUCUCCGGGUUUAGUGGGUUUAAAGGGAACGUAGAUGGAGUGUUAAGUCAGUUGUGAAAGUUUGCGGCUCAACCGUAAAAUUGCAAUUGAUACUGGCAGUCUUGAGUACAGUGGAGGUAGGCGGAAUUCGUGGUGUAGCGGGGAAAUGCUUAG